Molecule: ribosomal RNA, 394 nt
Filed under: uncultured bacterium
Lineage: Bacteria
Description: bacterial SSU rRNA
Rfam family: Bacterial small subunit ribosomal RNA
Source: RNAcentral
GGAAUCUUCGGCAAUGGGCGCAAGCCUGACCGAGCGACGCCGCGUGAAGGAUGAAGGCCCUCGGGUCGUAAACUUCUAAAAGAGGGACGAUAGUGACGGUACCUCUUGAAAAGCACCGGCUAACUCCGUGCCAGCAGCCGCGGUAAUACGGAGGGUGCGAGCGUUAAUCGGAAUUACUGGGCGUAAAGCGUGCGCAGGCGGUUUGCUAAGACAGGUGUGAAAUCCCCGGGCUUAACCUGGGAACUGCGCUUGUGACUGGCAGGCUAGAGUACGGCAGAGGGGGGUGGAAUUCCUGGUGUAGCAGUGAAAUGCGUAGAUAUCAGGAGGAACACCGAUGGCGAAGGCAGCCCCCUGGGCCUGUACUGACGCUCAUGCACGAAAGCGUGGGGAGCAA